UUUUUUUUUUUUUUUUAACUGCACUGCACAGUUUGCAAACUGCACAGAUUGCAAUUUGCAACUGCACAAUCACAGUGACACUGCAUUUAUGCAGAUUUUGCACAAAUUCACCAUUAUUCACAUCUAAUCUAAAUACAAAGUCUAACAUCCAAGUUCAUAAAUUAAGUUUUAACAAUACAUCCAAAAUAACAAUAUUAUAUCGUCCUCCAACAUCUAAAAAUGAAAUCCACAUACAAAAUAUCCGAAAGUCCAAGACAUCCAAAUUGCACAUGUAUGCUCGAUCUGUAUAACACCAAACUGCACAUAUAUCAAAACUGCACAUAUAUAAAUCAAAACUGCACAUGUAUAAAUCAAAACUGCACAUAUAUAAAAACUGCACAUAUAAGUAUAACAAGGAACUUGAGGACAUGAAUUUGAAAUUACCUUCUCGUUUAAGGAAUUGACUGAGAACACACACACACACACACAACACAGAACACACACACAACACAACACAUAACACACACACACACAAAACAAAACACACACACACACAAAACAAAACACACACACACACACACACAGAGAACAUACACACACACACACACACGCACGCACACAGAACACAGAACACACACACACGCACGCACACAGAACACAGAACACACACACACGCACGCACACACAGACAGAGAACACACACACGCACAUACACACAGAUCAGAGACAAAGGCGUUUGGAGAGAGUGAGAGUUAAUCGAUAAACCCUGAAAAUUUAAAUAGUUACCUGAAAAUUUAAACAGAUCAGAGACAAAGUCGCAGCUGGUGAUGCUUUGUGGAUGGCGGCUUGUGGCGCAGAUGGUUUACAAAUUAUCAAACUUAUCAAAAGUUACCUUCAAUUGCAAGUGAUAGAAUCGGUGUUCUUUGAAAUAAUCAUAACACUUGA
Molecule: long non-coding RNA, 924 nt
Filed under: Malus domestica (apple)
Lineage: Eukaryota; Viridiplantae; Streptophyta; Magnoliopsida; Rosales; Rosaceae
Description: long non-coding RNA (MDOM_LNC009852)
Source: RNAcentral